This 402-nucleotide ribosomal RNA is filed under the name bacterium. RNAcentral's name for it is "partial 16S ribosomal RNA". It matches the Rfam family "Bacterial small subunit ribosomal RNA", at positions 355 to 776 of the family's 1533-position model. The record is from RNAcentral.
UGGGGAAUUUUGCACAAUGGGGGAAACCCUGAUGCAGCGACGCCGCGUGAUUUAGAAGGCCUUCGGGUUGUAAAAAUCUUUUUUACGGGAUGAAAAUGACAGUACCGUAAGAAUAAGGUCCGGCUAAAUACGUGCCAGCAGCCGCGGUAAUACGUAUGGACCGAGCGUUGUCCGGAAUCAUUGGGCGUAAAGGGUACGUAGGCGGCCUCGUAAGUUAGAAGUGAAAUAAUAUAGCUCAACUAUAUAAAGCUUUUAAAACUGCUAGGCUUGAGAGAUGGAAGGGAAAGUGGAAUUCCUAGUGUAGCGGUGAAAUGCGCAGAUAUUAGGAAGAAUACCGGUGGCGAAGGCGACUUUCUGGUCAUCAUCUGACGCUGAGGUACGAAAGCGUGGGUAGCAAACAGG